Long non-coding RNA from Myotis brandtii (Brandt's bat), 704 nucleotides. RefSeq lists it as uncharacterized. The transcript has 3 exons. The record is from RefSeq and is a predicted model, not a curated record. NCBI's taxonomy places the organism in Eukaryota, Metazoa, Chordata, Mammalia, Chiroptera, Vespertilionidae.
UGCUGAGCACCUAGUAUGUUCCAGGCACCUACCACAGUGUGUGUGUGUGGGAGUGGAACAAAAGGUUGUGAACAUUCGAGGCAAUAGAAGAUAUAUCAUUGGGAUGGCUAAACUGCUAGAGAAGUAAAGAAAGUGUGAACAGUGCACCUAUGUCUUUGGAGGGGAAACUGGCCAAAACAGCAUCCCUGCAGUGGCCAACGAUGAUAACCGGGAAGAGCUGUGGCCAGUGUGAGGAGGAACCAGAGUCCUGGGAAUGUCAUGUCUGUCCAGAGCACAGCCCUGCUCAGAUCAGAAGGAAGCAAUAGUGAAAGCUUGGCAAGAAACAAGAGCAGCAGCAAGGACAAUAACAACAGCUACAGAGUCUGGGGCUAACCUGCUAGAAACCAAGGAUGAGAAAGAGCACCCCCUCAACAGUCCUCCACUGCGCCUGGGUUUUCUUGGGCAGGAAUGCUCACACAUGUCUUCAGGAACCACACAGCUGUGAGCAAAGCAGUUUUCCUGGCACCAAGCAGGAGGUUCCUGCUUCCCUAUGGCUCAUGUUCUCAUUCAGGAUUCAAGCCUGUCUUCAUCCAAGCAGAGGCACCUGGCCUGUCCCUUUUCGUUUCAGCAGCUCCCACCCCCAGCCUCAGCCACAAAAAGGAGGGCUGCUACCUGAGGAGCCUCCCUGAGCCCCCUGAUGAGCACAGAGUGCCUCCCAGACAACA